GUGCGUGGCGUGUCCGCUGGACCAGGGGACGGGGGCGCGCCGCAGGUGUAGGAGCUUUGCGCGCCUACCUGGCGGUCGUGGGUCGAGGAGGGGUCAAGAAUUGUUGUCUAGCAGCCCUCUCCCCGCUGCCCUGUCCUGGCCGAGGCAAAGGCCGCGUGCGCUCCGCGUCUGCCAGGCUUUAGGGCUGCGCGGACACUGGGUGGGUGGUGGGCCGAGGCGACCGGAAGGUCCUGGCCGCCUUUCCGGUCUCCUCAGCACCCUGGAGCGCCGCCCUCGGGUUUCGGUCUCCUGGAUCUGCGGGUCGGUCUCGGCGGGCGGAUUACUCCUCGCCCACAACCUCGAGGCCCCGGGGUCAACCGCGCCCUCCGGGCCGGCAACCCAGGGUUUAGUCAGAUUCCUCCUGACCCACCGCUUCUGGGAAAGAGGCGCCUCCCGUCAGGAGGAUGCUGAGUUCCUCAUGACUGGACCAGUGAGUGUCCACUCCCUGGUCCCUGGCGAGAGAGGCGGGACCCCCACGCCCUCCUGGCGCUCUUUGCAGAGAUGUUCCUCAGGCCCAAUCCGGGAUUUGGGAUGUCUGUGCGUGCUGUGGAGCAGAGAGUUUGCAACAUGUAAGUGCCGUGCGUGAGGAAGAGUAAAAUUAACCUAUGGAGCCUGCUCAUUUUUAAUGUGGAGGGCAGUUCCGUUCCUUUCUUUCGCCGCUUCGAGGUCAUUUUAACACUCAAAUCUAACAUAUAAGAAAAAAAGCCAGGCAUAAUCAUGGCCUUUUAUUUCCCUCAUUAAGGAUUACAUCAGGUGACAUAAGCCAUUUUAACAUACAUCAUGAAGAAAGUGAUUAGUAAUUUAUAAAGGCACAUUAAAAUACCAUAUAAAUUACGGUUUUCUUGAUAGGAUCAUGAUGGUGACUUUAAGAAAGUGGUUGAAUGUGGAUGAAACAGUUUGCUGUGGAUUGUAGCACGUGUGGCAGGAUAUGUAGGCUUGUUGGUUGGUUGUUUUGAGACGGAGUCUCCCUCUUGUCGCCGAGGCUGGAGUGCAGUGGUGCGAUCUCGGCUCACCUCAACCUCCUCCUUCCAGAUUCAAACGAUUCUCCUGCCUCAGCCUCCCGAGUAGCUGGGAUUACAGGCGCCCACAACCAUGCCCGGCUAAUUUUUAUAUUUUUAAUAGAGACCGGGUUUUGCUAUGUUGACCAGGCUGGUCUCAAACUCCUGACCUCAGGUGAUCCGCCCGUCUCGGCCUCCCAAAGUGCUGGGAUUACAGGUGUGAGCCACUGUGCCUGGCCAGUAUAUGUAGGCUUUCUGCAUUCUAUGCAGUUCAGUUCAUUCAUCCAACAAAUAUUUAAUGCCUGUUGUGUGUCAGACGUUAUCCUAAAGACUGAAGAUGCAAAAGGGAUUAAGACUCAAUUCCUUUGGCCAGGCACGGUGGUUUACGCCUGUAAUCCCAGCACUUUGGGAGGCCAUAGCGGGCGGAUCACCUGAGGUCAGGAGUUCCAGACCAGCCUGGCCAACAUGGUGAAACCCCGGCUCCACUAAAAAUACAAAAAGUUAGCCGGGUGAGGCGGUGGGCACCUGUAAUCCCAGCUGCUCAGGAGGCUCCCUGUUGCAGUGAGCCGAGAUCACACCACUGCCCUGCAGCCUGGGGAACAGAACGAGACACUGUCUCAGAAAAAUAACCAAACAAAAAAGACUCAUUUCCUUCUUGCAAAGCUCACAGGUUGGGUAGAAGAGAUAUGUAAACAAGUAAUUGCACUAGAUAUGACAAGUACAUCUUUUUGAACAUACAUAGAUUUAAGUUAUCUAAUACAGUUUGCUUUGUAAUAAAAACCACUUAUCUUAGUCCCUUCAUUUUGAAUUCAACAUUUUUCUAUUUAGUAUUCACCUCACAUUCUUUUUUAGUAUUUUGGUAGAAUCAGACUCUUCAAAACGGUUAAUAGGAUUUCAGAAAUUAAGUCAAUUUUCAGUGCCAGCUAGAAUGGACCUUUGGAUUUAGGACAGAGGUUCUCCAAAUGUGAGCUGGGGACUGUAGACAAUCUCCGAGGUUCUUUCUGGGAUCCAUGAGGUCAAAAAGUUUUCAUGUGUUACUUGCUUUUUUCACUCUUGUUCUCUCAGAAGUGUACAAUGAAGUUUUGUGGAGACUAUAAUGUGCUAUCAAAGCAAAUAGAAUUAAGCUGUUUUUUAAGUCAGAUAUUAGAGAUUUACAAAAAUGUAAAACAAUGCCAAUCUUAUCUUUUGUUUUUAAAAUAUAGUAAUUUUUCAUUAAAAUAUGAUAUUUAUGUUAACAUGUAAUGGGCUUAUUGUCAAUUUUAAGGAAUUAAUCUUUUAUAUAUAAUUUAUCAGUUUUCAUUUCUAAUAUGGUAAAUACCAAUAGUUACAAUCCACAUGAAAAAAACUUCUUUGAGUCUUCAAUUUUUAAACAUGCCAAGGGGUCUUGAUACUACAAACUUUGAGAACUGCCAAGGUAGGCUAGUUAUUUUCAAAUUAUGUUUCAUGGAGCCCUGAAUCCUCUGGUAGUGUGUCAGAAAUCUGUGAGGAUAGAGAAUCAGUAGGAAGUUAAAGACAAGGCUCUGGGUUCCCACAUCUCCCCGUCUUCUCUAAUGGCAGUUCAAUUUUUCUCUGUUUAUCUGGUUUUUUGUUUUUUGCUUUUUGUUUUUUUUUUCUUGAGACGGAGUCUCGCUCUGUCAUCCAGGCUGGAAUGCAGUGGUGCAAUCUUAGCUCACUGCAACCUCCACCUCCCAGGUUCAAAAGAUUCUCCUGCUUAGGCCUCCCAAAUAGCUGGGACUACAGGUGCGCACCACCACAUCACGCUAAUUUUUGUGUUUUUAGUAGAGACAGGGUUUUGCCAUGUUGGCCGGGCUGGUCUCAAACUCCUGACUUCAGGUGAUCCACCUGCCUUGGCUUCCCAAAGUGCUGGGAUUACAGGCAUGAGCCAUCAUGCCUGGCCUGUUUAUCUGCUUUUUGUAUCAAUUAGGUGGAGACUCUCAAACUUCAAUUCUUGACUACUGUGUACCUACAGGCUCAACACCAAGUGGAAGCUGCCAAGGCUUGGGGCUUCCACCCUCUGAAGCAAUAGCCCAAGCUAUGCCUCAGCCCCUUUUAGUUACAGCUGGGGCAGCUGGGACACAAGGCACCAAGUUCCUAGACUGCACACAGCAGAGGGAUCCUGGGCCCGGCCCACAAAACCAUUUUUUCUUCCUAAACCUCCAGGCCUGUGAUGGGAGGAGCUGCCAUGAAGAUCUCUGACAUGCCCGUUUUCCCCAUUGUCUUGGUGAUUAACAUUCGGAUCUUCCUUACUUAUGCAAAUUUCUACAGCUAGCUUGAAUUUCUCCUCAGAAAAUGAGAUUUUCUUUUCUGUCAUGUUGUCAGGCUGCAAAUUUUCCAAACUUUUAUGUUCUGUUUCCCUUAAAAACUGAAUGCCUUUAACAGCACCCAAGUCACCUCUUGAAUGCUUUGCUGCUUAGAAAUUUCUUCUGUCAGAUACCCUAAAUCAUCUCUCUCCAGUUCAAAGUUUCACAAAUCUCUAUGGCAGGGGCAAAGUGCCGCCAGCCUCUUUGCUAAAACAUAACAAAAGUCACCUUUGCUCCAGUUCCCAACAAGUUCCUCAUCUCCAUCUGAGACCACCUGAUUGGAUUUCAUUGUCCAUAUAAUUAUCAGCAUUUUUGUCAAAGCCAUUUAACAAGCCUCUAGGGAGUUCUAAACUUUCCUGCAUUUUCCUGUCUUCUUCUGAGCCCUCCAGACUGUUCCAACAUCUGGCUGUUAACCCAGUUCCAAAGUUGCUUCCAUAUUUUUGGAUAUCUUUUUAGCAGUGCCUCACUCUACUGGUACCAAUUUACUGUGUUAGUUCUUUUUCAUGCUGCUGAUAAAGACAUACCCAAGACUAGGAAAUUUACAAAAGAAAGAGGUUUAUUGGACUUACAGUUCCACAUGGCUGGGGAAGCCUCAUAAUCAUGGUGGAAGGUGAAAGUCAUGUCUCACAUGGCAGCAGACAAGAGAAGAGAGAACUUGUGCAGGGAAACUCUCAUUUUUAAAACCAUCAGAUCUCAUGAGACUUAUUCACUAUCACAAGAACAGCACGGGAAAGACCUGCCCCCAUGAUUCAAUUAUCAUCUGCCGGGUCCCUCUCACAACAUGUAGGAAUUAUGGGACCUACAAGAUGAGAUUUGGGUGGGGACACAGAGCCAGUCAUAGUAAGGUAUUGUUUGGGUAAAACAUAAGCCUUUCUUUCCUUUCUUUUUUUUUUUUUUACAGGGUCUCACUUUGUCACCCAGGCUGGAAUGCAUUGGCAUGAACACGUCUCACUGCAGCCUCAACCUCCCAGGCUGAAGUGACCCUCCAACUCUGCUUUCACAGUAGCUGUGAUAUGGUUUGGCUGUGUCCCCACCCACAUCUCAUCUUAAAACCCAGUGGGAGGUAAUUGAAUCAUGGGGGCAAGUCUUUCCUGUGCUGUUCUUGUGAUAGUGAAUAAGUCUCAUGAGAUCUGAUGGUUUUUAAAAGAGUUCUGGCUGGGCAUGGUGGUGGGCACCUGUAAUCCAAACUACUAGGGAGGCUGAGGCAGAGUGAAUUGCUUGAACCUGGGAGAAGGAGGUUGCAGUGAGCCGAGAUUGCACCGCUGCACUCCAGCCUGGGCAAAAUUGAAGACUCUGUCUCCAAAAAAAAAAAAAAGGAGUUCCUCUGCAUAAGCUCUCUCUCUUUGCCUGCUGCCAUCCAUGUAAGAUGUGACUUGCUCUUCCUUGCCCUAUGAUUGUGAGUCUUUCCCCAGCCACGUGGAACUGUAAGUCCAAAUAAACCUCUUUCUUUUGUAAAUUGCCCAGUCUUGGGUAUGUCUAUCAGCAGCAUGGAAAUGGACUAAUACAGUAAAUUGGUACCAGUAGAGUGGGGUGUUGCUGAAAAGAUACCUGAAAAUGUGAAAGUGACUUUGGAACUGGGUAGCAGGCAAACAUUGGAACAGUUUGGAGGGCUCAGAAGAAGACAGGAAAAUGUAGGAAAGUUUGGAACUUCCUAGAGACUUGUUGAAUGGCAUUGACAAAAAUGCUAAUAGUGAUACGAACAAUAAGAUCCAGUCUGAGGUGGUCUCAGAUGGAGAUGAGGAACUUGUUGGGAACUGGAGCAAAGGUGACUCUUGUUAUGUUUUAGCAAAGAGACUGGUGACAUUUUGCCCCUGCCCGAGAGAUUUGUGGAACUUUGAACUUGAGGGAGAUGAUUUAGGGUAUCUGGUGGAAGACAUUUCUUUUUUUUUUUUUGUGACGGAGUCUUGCAUUGUCGCCUGGGGUGGAGUGCAAUGGUCUGAUCUCAGCUUACUGGGUUCAAGCAAUUCUGUCUCAGCCUCCCGAGUAGCUGGGAUUACAGGCGUCCGCCACCACGCCCUUCUAAUUUUUUGUAUUUUUAGUAGAGACGGUUUCACUAUGUUGGCCAGUGGAAGACAUUUCUAAGCAGCAAAGCAUUCAAGAGGUGGCUUGGGUGUUGUUAAAGGCAUUCUGUUUUGACUGGGUGCGGUGGUGCACACCUAUAAUCCCAGCACUUUGGGAGGCCGAGGAGGGUGGAUCAAGAGGUCAGGAGUUCAAGACCAGCCUGGCCAAUAUGGUGAAACCCUGUCUCUACUGGAAAUACAAAAAUUAGCUUGGCAUGGUGGUGUGCGCCUGUAGUCCCAGCUUCUCGGGAGGCUGAGGCAGGAGAAUCGCCUGGACCCGGGAGGUGGAGGUUCCAUUGAGCCAAGAUCAUGCCACUGACUCCAGCCUGGGCAACAGACUGAGACUCUGUCUCAAAAAAAAAGAAAAAAAAAAAGGCAUUCAGUUUUAUAAGGGAAGCAGAGCAUAAAAGUUUGGGAAAUUUGCAGCCUGACAAUGUGAUAGUAAAGAAAAUCCCAUUUUCUGAGAGGAAAUUCAAGCUGGCUGCAAAAAUUUGCAUAAGUACCAAGGAGCCGAAUGUUAAUAUCCAAGACAAUGGGGAAAAUAUCUCCCAGACAUGUCAGAGGUCUUCAUGGCAGCCCCUCCCAUCAACAGGUCCAGAGGCCUAGGAGGAAAAAGUGGUUUUGUGGGCAGCACCCAGGGUCCCCAUGCUAUGUGCAGCCUAGGGACUUGGUGCCGUGCGUCUCAGCUCCUCCAGUGGUGACUGAAAGGGGCCAACAUAGAGCUCGGGCUGCUGCUUCAUGGGGUGGAAGUCCCAAAUCUUGGCAGCUUCCAUGUGGUGUUGAGCCUGCGAGUACAUAGAAGUCAAGAAUUGGGGUUUGGGAACCUCCAUCUAGAUUUCAGAAGAUAUAUGGAAAUUCCUGGAUGCCCAGGCAGAAGUUUGCUGUAGGGGUGGGGCCUUCAUGGAGAACCUCUGCUAGAGCAGUGCAGAAGGGAAAUGUGGGGUCGGAGCCCCCACACAGAGUCCCCGCUGCGGCCCUGCCUGAUGGAGCUGUGAGAAGUGGACCACCGUUCUCCAGACCCCAGAAUGGUAGAUCCACCGACAGCUUGCACCGUGUGCCUGGAAAAGCUGCAGACACUCAAUGCCAGCCUAUGAAAGCAGCCUGGAGGGAGGCUUUACCCUGCAAAGCCACAGAAGUGGAGCUGCCCAAGACCAUGGGAAUCCACCUCUUGCAUCAGUGUGACCUGGAUGUGAGACAUGGAGUCAAAGGAUAUCAUUUUGAAGCUUUAAGAUUUGACUGCCCUGCUGGAUUUCAGACUUGCAUGGGUCCUGUAGCCCCUUUGUUUUGGCCAAUUUCUCCCAUUUGGAAUGGCUAUAUUUACCCAAUGCUUAUACCACCAUUCUAUCUAGGAAGUAAAUAACUUGCUUUUGAUUUUACAGGCUCAUAGGCAGAAGGGAUUUGCCUUGUCUCAGAUGAGACUUUGGACUGCGGACUUUUGAGUUAAUGCUGAAAUGAGUUAAGACUUCGGAGGACUAUUGGGAAGGCAUGAUUGGUUUUGAAAUGUGAGGACAUGAGAUUUGGGAGGGGCCAGGGGUGGAAGGAUACGGUUGGGUUCUGUGUCCCCACCCAAGUCUUAUCUUGUAGCUCCCAUAACCCAUGUGUCUUGGGAGGGACCUGGUAAUUCAAUCAUGUGGGCUGGAUGCGGUUGCUCAUGCCUGUAAUCCCAGCACUUUGGGAGGCCAAGGGGGAGAUCACUUGCGAUCAGGAGUUUGAGACCAGCCUGGCCAACAUGGUGAAACCCCAUCUAUACUAAAAAUACAAAAAUUAGCCAGGCACGGUGGUGGGCACCUGUAAUCCCAGCUACUUGGGAGGCUGAGGCAUGAGAAUCACUUGAACCUGGAGGCGGAGGUUGCAGUGAGCCGAGAUCGCACCACUGCACUCCAGCCUGGGCGUCAAAGUGAAACUUAGUCUUAAAAAAAAAAAAAAAAAGAAGAAUGGGAGUGGGUCUUUCCUGUGCUGUCCUCAUGAUAGAGAAUAAGUCUUACAAGAUCUGAUGGUUUUAAAAAUGAGAGUUAUUUCUCUCUUCUCUUGUCUGCCACCAUGUGAGUCAUGCCUUUCACCUUCCACCAUGAUUGUGAGGCCUCCCCAGCCACGUGGAACUGUAAGUCCAAUAAACCUCUUUCUUUUUUUUUUUUUUUUUUUUUUUUUUUGAGACGGAGUCUCACUCUGUUGCCCAGGCUGGAGUGCAGUGGCGCGAUCUCGGCUCACUGCAAGCUCCGCCUCCCAGGUUCACGCCAUUCUCCUGCCUCAGCCUCCCGUGUAGCAGGCAUUGUCACAGGCGCCUGCCACCACACCCACCUAAUUUUUUUGUAUUUUUAGUAGAGACGGGGUUUCACCGUGUUAGCCAGGGUGGUAUCGAUCUCCUGACCUUGUGAUCCGCCCACCUUGGGCUCCCAAAGUGUUGAGAUUACAGGCGUAAGCCACUGCACCCGGCAAUAAACCUCUUUCUUUUGUAAAUUGCCCAGGUAUGUCUUUAUCAGCAGCAUGAAAAUGGACUCAUACAAUGAUCCAUUACCUAGGGUAAAAUUCUCCUGAAUGUCAAACAGAGAUAAACUACAUUUGGGUUUUGGGUAAGUCCCCUGUAAUGAUGAAUCAAGAAUCCUCAAGUCUGUCUUGCCACCCAUUUAAUACGUAUUUUUGUUAAGGCUGAAGUUUAGAGUUAGAAUCAGGACAUUUUGGCCUAUUGAGAGGUUCUGAAUUCCAACAGAAGAUGCCAUGUAAAUCAGUGAAUUUGAUUCUUUUAAAAGCAACUUACAAAAUUUACAAGAUGUAUUCAAUAAAGCAGUUUAGCUUUGGUAUAU
Molecule: long non-coding RNA, 8198 nt
Filed under: Homo sapiens (human)
Lineage: Eukaryota; Metazoa; Chordata; Mammalia; Primates; Hominidae
Description: HSALNT0319271
Source: RNAcentral